This 739-nucleotide ribosomal RNA is filed under the name uncultured bacterium. RNAcentral's name for it is "bacterial SSU rRNA". It matches the Rfam family "Bacterial small subunit ribosomal RNA", at positions 55 to 783 of the family's 1533-position model. The record is from RNAcentral.
AUGCAGUCGAGCGGUAGCACAAGAGAGCUUGCUCUCUGGGUGACGAGCGGCGGACGGGUGAGUAAUGUCUGGGAAACUGCCUUAUGGAGGGGGAUAACUACUGGAAACGGUAGCUAAUACCGCAUAACGUCUACGGACCAAAGUGGGGGACCUUCGGGCCUCACGCCAUCAGAUGUGCCCAGACGGGAUUAGCUAGUAGGUGGGGUAAUGGCUCACCUAGGCGACGAUCCCUAGCUGGUCUGAGAGGAUGACCAGCCACACUGGAACUGAGACACGGUCCAGACUCCUACGGGAGGCAGCAGUGGGGAAUAUUGCACAAUGGGCGCAAGCCUGAUGCAGCCAUGCCGCGUGUGUGAAGAAGGCCUUAGGGUUGUAAAGCACUUUCAGCGAGGAGGAAGGGUUCAGUGUUAAUAGCACUGUUCAUUGACGUUACUCGCAGAAGAAGCACCGGCUAACUCCGUGCCAGCAGCCGCGGUAAUACGGAGGGUGCAAGCGUUAAUCGGAAUUACUGGGCGUAAAGCGCACGCAGGCGGUUUGUUAAGUCAGAUGUGAAAUCCCCGCGCUUAACGUGGGAACUGCAUUUGAAACUGGCAAGCUAGAGUCUUGUAGAGGGGGGGUAGAAUUCCAGGUGUAGCGGUGAAAUGCGUAGAGAUCUGGAGGAAUACCGGUGGGCGAGGCGGCCCCCUGGACAAAGACUGACGCUCAGGUGCGAAAGCGUGGGGAGCAAACAGGAUUAGAU